AACAGGAUUAGAUACCCGGGUAGUCCAUGCCGUAAACGAUGAGUGCUAAGUGUUGGAGGGUUUCCGCCCUUCAGUGCUGCAGCUAACGCAUUAAGCACUCCGCCUGGGGAGUACGACCGCAAGGUUGAAACUCAAAGGAAUUGACGGGGGCCCGCACAAGCGGUGGAGCAUGUGGUUUAAUUCGAUGCUACGCGAAGAACCUUACCAGGUCUUGACAUCUUCUGCCAACCUAAGAGAUUAGGCGUUCCCUUCGGGGACAGAAUGACAGGUGGUGCAUGGUUGUCGUCAGCUCGUGUCGUGAGAUGUUGGGUUAAGUCCCGCAACGAGCGCAACCCUUAUUGUUAGUUGCCAGCAUUUAGUUGGGCACUCUAGCAAGACUGCCGGUGACAAACCGGAGGAAGGUGGGGAUGACGUCAAAUCAUCAUGCCCCUUAUGACCUGGGCUACACACGUGCUACAAUGGACGGUACAACGAGUCGCGAAACCGCGAGGUCAAGCUAAUCUCUUAAAGCCGUUCUCAGUUCGGAUUGUAGGCUGCAACUCNCCUACAUGAAGUUGGAAUCGCUAGUAAUCGUGGNUCAGCAUGCC
RNAcentral lists this ribosomal RNA (587 nucleotides) under uncultured Lactobacillus sp. RNAcentral describes it as "bacterial SSU rRNA". It matches the Rfam family "Bacterial small subunit ribosomal RNA", at positions 771 to 1358 of the family's 1533-position model. The record is from RNAcentral. Lineage: Bacteria; Bacillati; Bacillota; Bacilli; Lactobacillales; Lactobacillaceae.